RNAcentral lists this ribosomal RNA (200 nucleotides) under uncultured bacterium. Its description in RNAcentral is "partial 16S ribosomal RNA". It matches the Rfam family "Bacterial small subunit ribosomal RNA", at positions 8 to 210 of the family's 1533-position model. The record is from RNAcentral.
AGAGUUUGAUCCUGGCUCAGGACGAACGCUGGCGGCGUGCUUAAUACAUGCAAGUCGAACGGAAAGGCCCUUCGGGGUACUCGAGUGGCGAACGGGUGAGUAACACGUGAGCAACCUGCCCCUAACUCUGGGAUAGCUCCGGGAAACCGGGAUUAAUACCGGAUAUGACCUCGGCCGACAUCUGCUGAGGUGGAAAGAAU